GACGAACGCUGGCGGCGUGCUUAACACAUGCAAGUCGAACGGGGCUGCUAUGAUGGAGUUUUCGGACAACUGAUUAGUAUGCCUAGUGGCGGACGGGUGAGUAACGCGUGAGUAACCUGCCUUUCAGAGGGGGACAACAGCUGGAAACGGCUGCUAAUACCGCAUAAUAUAUACAGGUCGCAUGAUUUGUAUAUCAAAGAUUUAUCGCUGAAAGAUGGACUCGCGUCUGAUUAGCUAGUUGGCGGGGUAACGGCCCACCAAGGCGACGAUCAGUAGCCGGACUGAGAGGUUGACGGCCACAUUGGGACUGAGAUACGGCCCAG
RNAcentral lists this ribosomal RNA (323 nucleotides) under uncultured bacterium. RNAcentral's name for it is "bacterial SSU rRNA". It matches the Rfam family "Bacterial small subunit ribosomal RNA", at positions 28 to 334 of the family's 1533-position model. The record is from RNAcentral.